CAUCAAGAGAGAAAUAAAAUGGGGUUAUCACCUCCUUUCACGGCUUAUUUUCUUUUCUGUUGAACACACCAGAAGAUGCUGUGGAGCAGACAUUUAUUGAGCACUUCUGCAUCAAACAUUGUUCUUUGCACCUGGUAUAUGCAUUACUUUACAUAAUCCUCAAAACUUCUAAAGCACCUUUAUAAGGACCGUGACUUGGGUACCAGCCUGCAAUGCAUACUGGAGGCAAGAGACUAGCAGCCUGGAGAAAUCUAGAGGGAAGUACAAAAGGAAGUAAAAAAAAAAUGAGAGCCACAAAUAAAGUCUAAUUACUAGU
Molecule: long non-coding RNA, 316 nt
Organism: Eptesicus fuscus (big brown bat)
Lineage: Eukaryota; Metazoa; Chordata; Mammalia; Chiroptera; Vespertilionidae
Exons: 3
Source: RefSeq, a predicted model, not a curated record